GGUUAAGCGACUAAGCGUACACGGUGGAUGCCCUGGCAGUCAGAGGCGAUGAAGGACGUGCUAAUCUGCGAUAAGCGUCGGUAAGGUGAUAUGAACCGUUAUAACCGGCGAUUUCCGAAUGGGGAAACCCAGUGUGAUUCGUCACACUAUCAUUAACUGAAUCCAUAGGUUAAUGAGGCGAACCGGGGGAACUGAAACAUCUAAGUACCCCGAGGAAAAGAAAUCAACCGAGAUUCCCCCAGUAGCGGCGAGCGAACGGGGAGGAGCCCAGAGCCUGAAUCAGUGUGUGUGUUAGUGGAAGCGUCUGGAAAGGCGCGCGAUACAGGGUGACAGCCCCGUACACAAAAAUGCACAUG
Molecule: ribosomal RNA, 356 nt
Filed under: Escherichia coli
Lineage: Bacteria; Pseudomonadati; Pseudomonadota; Gammaproteobacteria; Enterobacterales; Enterobacteriaceae
Description: partial 23S ribosomal RNA
Rfam family: Bacterial large subunit ribosomal RNA
Source: RNAcentral